UUGAAUCCCAGGUGUGCAUA
This 20-nucleotide non-coding RNA is filed under the name Arabidopsis thaliana (thale cress). The record is from RNAcentral. Lineage: Eukaryota; Viridiplantae; Streptophyta; Magnoliopsida; Brassicales; Brassicaceae.